This 253-nucleotide ribosomal RNA is filed under the name uncultured bacterium. Its description in RNAcentral is "partial 16S ribosomal RNA". It matches the Rfam family "Bacterial small subunit ribosomal RNA", at positions 524 to 776 of the family's 1533-position model. The record is from RNAcentral.
UACGUAGGGGGCGAGCGUUGUCCGGAGUUACUGGGCGUAAAGCGCACGUAGGCGGCUUUGCAAGUCAGAGGUGAAAGCCCGGGGCUCAACCCCGGAAUUGCCUUUGAGACUGCAUCGCUAGAAUUGUGGAGAGGUAAGUGGAAUUCCGAGUGUAGAGGUGAAAUUCGUAGAUAUUCGGAAGAACACCAGUGGCGAAGGCGACUUACUGGACACAUAUUGACGCUGAGGUGCGAAAGCGUGGGGAGCAAACAGG